UGACAGUGAGAAAUCAUUGCUAAUACCGCAUAUGCCAUGAACAUCACAUGAUGAAAGUGGGAAAAGAGUAAUCUGCUAGUAGAUGGGCUCGCGUCUGAUUAGAUAGUUGGUGGGGUAACGGCCUACCAAGUCGACGAUCAGUAGCCGGACUGAGAGGUUGAACGGCCACAUUGGGACUGAGAUACGGCCCAGACUCCUACGGGAGGCAGCAGUCGGGAAUAUUGCGCAAUGGAGGAAACUCUGACGCAGUGACGCCGCGUAUAGGAAGAAGGUUUUCGGAUUGUAAACUAUUGUCGUUAGGGAAGAUACAAGACAGUACCUAAGGAGGAAGCUCCGGCUAACUACGUGCCAGCAGCCGCGGUAAUACGUAGGGAGCAAGCGUUAUCCGGAUUUAUUGGGUGUAAAGGGUGCGUAGACGGGAAAGCAAGUUAGUUGUGAAAUCCCUCGGCUUAACUGAGGAACUGCAACUAAAACUGUUUUUCUUGAGUGUUGGAGAGGAAAGUGGAAUUCCUAGUGUAGCGGUGAAAUGCGUAGAUAUUAGGAGGAACACCGGUGGCGAAGGCGACUUUCUGGACAAUAACUGACGUUGAGGCACGAAAGUGUGGGGAGCAAACAGGAUUAGAUACCCUGGUAGUCCACACCGU
RNAcentral lists this ribosomal RNA (644 nucleotides) under uncultured bacterium. Its description in RNAcentral is "bacterial SSU rRNA". It matches the Rfam family "Bacterial small subunit ribosomal RNA", at positions 144 to 803 of the family's 1533-position model. The record is from RNAcentral.